UAUCUAAAUUGUUACAAAUGGGACAGUAUAUGUGCCAUUCCAGAUACCUAAUCACAGCUCAAUCGAUGCUGGUGUCUUUUUCCUUUUUCCUUCUGCAGAAAACAUGCUUUACAUAGGAUCUCUGAACUUAAAGAAUGGGAAGAAGAAAAAUCAUGUUUCCAGCUUGGGCUGCUGUUUCAUCUGUUGGACUUGCUUGAUCCCUGAAUGGAAAGGAAUGCUAUGCACACUUUUUGGAUACAGGAAGUGAGAUUCAGAGGGGUUAAACAGCUUUCCUAAAGCCACACAGCGAGAGAGUCGAUCUGAACUGAAGAUUGUUUGACAUCAAAGCUCAUUUCUUUCCCUAAAUGUCAGCAUUCUUUCCUGACUUAUUAAUUUGAUUUCUGUCCUCCCCUCAUGGAAGUUAAUUAAAGGAAUGCGAGAACCUUUUAGAAAAUCUC
This 437-nucleotide long non-coding RNA is filed under the name Homo sapiens (human). RNAcentral describes it as "long independently transcribed non-coding RNA 2127 (LINC02127)". The record is from RNAcentral. Lineage: Eukaryota; Metazoa; Chordata; Mammalia; Primates; Hominidae.